AAUCUCGCAUCUUUUUUUUUUCUCCCUUGCUGAACUCGUCCUCCACUGCUCCUGAGUCUUCUUACGGGAUCCCCAGGUGACCCUGCAUAGCCGGAGUCCUCACCAGCUCGGGUACCGGGAGAUCCUCAGGAGGUCAGCGAGUCAUGCCGAGCGUGUGGCCAGGACUGGCGGGACCCGGUCACCAUCUGCCUUGGGGACCCGAGUGCAUGUGAGCUGCGGAGCUUGGGGCGAGUCCCCACCGGCGGGUGGCCCUGGGCCCUAUCCCUCUGUCCCGCGGCGGGGGUGGUAGAUGCCGGGUCUCCGAGGUCAGCUACUCAGUGUAUUACCGAGUCUCUGUUGGCGGGUGGCCCUUGACUUUGGCCCUUGGUCCCUCCCGCUGGGUGCGUUGGGAGGCAGAUUCCCCAGGUCAGCUGCAGAGCAUGGCUGAGUCCUCUCUGGCGGGUCGCCCUGGGCUCCUGUCCCAUGGGUGAGCUGGGCAGCAGGUCCCUGCCCCCUUUUCUGCUCCCUAUUGGCGACCUCCCUGGUUCAACUCUGGGCAGUUUAUGUGGCCUGAUGCUCCCAGAGUGCGUGGUGAGCAGGGGAGGAUCAGGGUUCUGGACUAAGGUGUGUUCUGACUGUGACAUUUGGCCUUAGGGGUCCCCGUCUGUCCCUCUUUUCUCCCCAGGAUUAUGAGUCCUACGGACACAUACUGCUAAAUGUGCAGGAAACGGUAUCAAAUCCAUUUUCCAUUCUGGAACCUGGCUCCUCCUAAGGCUGGCAGCAGACACCUGAAAUUCUAGUUCCCUCCCGAAUUCCCAGAUGCCAGCUGCACCCUCCAGUUCACACUUUGCCAACCAUUUGUUCCAGUCUACAAAUAGACAGUGUUUUAAUUGUGGUAGUUUCACUUAUUAAUGAAUGAUAUUAAAAAACAACAACAACAACAAAAAAAAAACAUUUUAUUUUAUUUAUUUUUUAACAUGCACAAACAUUUCCCAGGAGUGGAAUGCAGAGAGGAAUGACCUGGAAGUUGAGUUUAAAAAGUACUUAUUCCUCUCUUCAUCUUGCCCAGACCCAGACACCUGUGCGGUGCCUUUGGGCAGAGGAGUUCUUUGGAUAUUGAACAGGGUCCUGUGUCCUCAGUCAUUGUUCUGUCUUUUCCUGGGGCUGCUGCAAGUUGCCCUAAGCUUCCCUGUGCCCUGCAGGGUGCAGGCAAUUUUAAGCUCUGCAUCAGCUCCUCCUAGAGGACAGCCUGAUUUGUGGGGAGCAGCCUCCCAGGGGAGCAGUCGGAGAUACCCAGGUCAGGCAGUGAGAUGCUGGUGUUGAGGGAACAUGACACACAUGGUUCCUGCCCUCUGGAUGUGCUCAUAGCUUUGAAGGAAGAACAAUUAUCCUAAAGAGCAGGGGAAACUGACCCCAGCAAGGUGGAGCAAAGCCCUACAAAGCUUUUCAGCAGCAGGAGGGGGUGGGAGGAUGUGCCUGGUGACAGAAGCCUUACCUGAAGCUGGAGUCUGACAGGUCAGUGUCCAGUGGUGCUACAGUUCCCCAGGUUUGUUGCCUUGGAAAGACUGGCUCACUUAUUUUAGUAUCAGUUUUUCAUGAACUGUAAAAUGUAGUUUAUUAGUAGAGCUGAUUAGAAAGUAUCCCUAAAGGGUAAGAUAGAGAUACAAUUCAGGGGGAAAAAAAGAAGGCUAGAAACAGAAAAGAAAGAAACACUUGGCCUUAUAUUCCCUUAGUUAAAAAUACUUAUGAAUGUUUUUGUUCCCAAGAGUGAAUUUACCAUCUUUCUCAGAUGCCUUCUUUUUUGGAGAGGAGUGGAUGUUGAUAAUUUAAAAUAGAAUUCCAGGACUUUGCUUUGGGAAUGCUACCUGGGAAUAGAAAAAGGGAAAACUUAUGUUUCAGUUUGGCUGCAGAUAUGAAUGCCCCAGAAGAAAGUGUGGUAGAGAGGUCGGUUUCUUUAUUACAAAGAUUCAACCUCACUAAGUUGAAGAGGGCCUUGUUAAGUUGCUGAGGCUGGUUUUGAAGUUAUGUUCCUUCUGUAUCAUCCUCCGGAGUCACUGGGAUUACAGGCCUGCACAGUACCCUUUUCUCCUUUCAGAUGUGUUCUUUAUGGGAAAGUGGGGGUGGGAGAGUGGUUUGAAAUAGAAUUCCAGGGCUUGGCUUUGGGAAUGCUACCUAGGAAAAGAAACAGGGAAGAUUUCUUCCAAUAUGGUUGCAAAAAGUGAGUAUAUUAACCCAAUUCAUUGUGAUAGAUGAAUUGGUUCAUUACAAAAAUUCACCAAAACAUCAGCUCUGUAGUUUGCAGGGCUUUGGAAGUGGAUGAGUCUGUUCUGUACCCUGUGAACUGCAGGUGAAUGUUUAACACUGAUAACAUUGACAGAACUUGGAAUUCCUAAUAGAAGUCACAUAUGAUGAAUGGUUACCAAAUAUUAUCUGGGAUAUAGCAAUUAAAUAACAUGUUUAUUGUCUGAAAAGGAGUACCUAGAUUUUCCUGUUGAAAUAUUAAAUUUAAAUGGAUAACAGGAAUGCUCCACUGUACCCAGCAAAGAAUUUCAUUCCUUCAUUGAAUCAAAGAUUUUUAUGGCAUCGGUUAACAACUAUUUGCAUAGAGUAAUUUGAUGUAAAGAGGAACAGAGAAGUCUUGAAAUAAUUUUUUAAUGCUUAGUUUAGUAAGAAUCUGUAAACCCAUAUAUCCCUGUCUAAAUAGGGACAAGGUGGCCCUGGGCAGGCUCCCUCUCUCUCUCUCCCUGCUCCCCCUACCUGUGCAGAGAGGUGGUACAGUGCCAGUUCCUUCUGUCAUUCCUUGUAUUUUAACCAGCUGUGAGGAAGCAGAAUUUUAUUUGUUUUUGUCUUAUUUGAGUUUUCAGUAACUGAAUGUUAACUAUUAGUGCUCUACCACUGUGGUGCUGUAACGUGCAUUGUGUGGGUUCUCUGCCUCAGUUGGCUAGACUCCUUUUGCUGUCUGAGGCCGUGGGUCUCCUAGGUCCCUCCCAAGUUCCUUCUUCCAGAACCUCACCUGUUUCCAGUGUAACUUUUAUGUUCUUUGCAAUUUCAUUCUAUUUUUAAAUUUGGUCCCCAAGUUGGCCCACUUUAUAAGUACGUGCACUUUGGAAAAUCGUGGUUAUGGAUAAAUUGCAGUGCAGUGUGUGGAACAGCUCUCUGGCCAUUCAUCCAUGUGUGUUUAUCCCUCUUACCUGUCUGUCUGUGUUUACUUUGUGUGACUAGAUAUAGUUUUUCACUGAAUACCAUUUGCAUGAACAUUUUUCUGUGUAUUUCCAUGUUCUUGUAAAUGGUUUUCACUCAUUUUCUCAUGUUUAGUUCAUUUGUGAGGUUGUUUCUUUUUUCUUUUAAUAUUUUCUGUACAUGAAUUUAUUUCUCUUUGUAAAGACCGCAGACAUCUGCCCUGAGGUAGGGCAGCCUUUUUGCCUCCUCUUGCAGUUUGAUGGAGAGACCCCCUUUUAAUAGAUGUGACUAUAUCAUUCUCUUUCUUUUGAAUUUAUCUUAUUAAGAAAACCUAAAGGACAAGGGGUAUAGGAGGUUCCAGAGGUAAAUGCUUACAUGUCCCCUCCUGGCCAGCAGGGAAUGAGCCCUCCUGGGGCCACAUUUCAGCAGUCAGACUGUGGCUCCCAACUUGGGAAUGUGUUUACCCUUCUACAAGUUGGUUUUCAUUCUGAACUGUGGGAGAAGCAGGUGCCUUAAAGUGUUUGCUUUUCCUUUUAUUGAAUUCUUUCUAUUAUUACCAUAUAAUUAGUUUUUCAUGCAUUUAAUAAUUGUAUUUCCUGAUUAUAUUUUUAUUUUUUUGACUGAAAAUGAGUUGACUGAGAGGUAAAAUAUUUGGAGGCCUUGGUCAUGUAGCACCAGCCUCUUCUAAAGUGAUGGAUGCCUGUCCCCUCCUUUUCAGUAAGGCCGGACCUGGCACUUACCAUCUCUGAGGUCAGGGUUGGCUGCAUUGGACACCAAGGCUGUAAUUCCUCAUAUAGGCUUGUGACUCUGUACCCAGAAAGGCAGGAAGACAGUUCUGCCUAAGUAGAAAUGUUCCCCUGGUGGGGCAGGUCCCCUUGCAGGAAGGACACCCUGCCUGAAAAGUGCUUUUGCCAAGACAGUGUCUUUCUGGCCUCAUUUAUCCAGGAGUCUAAUACAUCUCCUGUCACUUAGGGUCCCAAAGGGUAUGUAUGUGGGCUGGAGUAUGCAGGGGUCUUGUGGCACCCUGGGCAGUCAGAGGCAGCUGGUGGGAGGAGGUGGCCUUCCACAGUCAGAGGCCUUCAUCUCUCACCCUGUGCAGCUCAGAAUUCAUCUCCAGGACUGUAUCUUCUCUGCUGUGUGAGGCCCAAGUGACUCUGGCUUAGAUUUAUCUCCCUGUGACCUGCAGGUGCUAUGAGAUUCCAGGGAGGAUGUCAGGACUCCCCAGAAGGCAGGAAAUGGUGAGUGUGUGGGGCCUGGACUGCUCAGGGAAGUGGGAUGGUUAGAACUGGUGGGAACCAGCUGUGGCUGGACUCUGGCCUCCCACUGUCAGCCCCAGAGUCAGCCAGCCCAGACCUGAGUCAGAUGCUGCUACAGCUCAGCCCUUGAUGCCUUCAGGACAUGGUGUGGGCUGGUGCAGGUGGGUUCUCAGUAUGCUGCCUGGUCUGCAGCCACUUUGGCAGAACCCUCUCUGCCCAGCUGGACCCCAGCCCUAGGCCCUCAGUGUGUAGUGAAAGCAGAGGGCCUCAUGGAUCCUGCUUCAGGUGUAGGGCUCCUGUGUGGAGGAUGCUGAUCUGAGGAUUUGUGCUCCUUCUCCCCAGGAGUCACCUUGCUUUCCCCACCCAGCCCCUGCUAGGGUUGUUGGCACAACCUUAAUAUUCCUAACCUCUCCUCACAUUUCUAGAAUGUAUCUCCCCCUCCUCUUCACAGCAUUAUCAAUUCCUUGCUCCUCAUACUGCAUUCCAGCGGCACAGCAUGAAAGAUUUGUUUUCUGUUUCUGAAUUUGCCAUGUGGUGAGAGCAGAGGACAGUCAGCUGGAACUCCACUGUUAAAAGACUUUGUUCCUGUCUUCCUUUAUCUUCCCCAAGCACAGACAAUGUAAAAUCUUUGGGUAGAAAUUUCCUUUGACUCUUCACAGGGUCCUGUGUCCUCAACUACUUUCCUGUCCUUUCUUGGGGCUGCCCAAAGGUGCCCACAGCUACCUUGUGUCCUGCAGGAAGCAGGCAAAUUCAGGCCCUGGGUCAGCCUUCCUAGAGGACAGCCUGAGGUGUGGGGUGUCGACUCUCAGGGGAGCAGCUGAAACCCCUGGGGCUGAGGAAUCUCCUUGAACAGGCCCCAACUAAAGAGCUUCCUCCUUCUGACUUUGUCUCCCAAGCCCUAUCCCCAUUCUUUGGAGACAGGUGGACAGUGAGCCUGUGGAUGGUGGUGCUGAGGGGCCAGGUCAGGAGUGAUUCCUGCCCUUGCAUUCUCUCACAGUUGUGUAGGAGGAAAACCCCAGUGCAGUGCUGUGCAAACCUGAAAAAUCUCAAAAGACUGGAGUCAUGGUCCAGGUCUCUUGGGAGGGUGAUCAUGGAGUGUUUUGUGAUCGAGACCAGGUAGGAGGAUGUCCAGUUCUCAGGGAACCUUCGUUGCCCCUUCAGCCUGACACAUCUGUGCUCCCUCAGCACCAGCCCUUUCUGUGUUUAUCACUUUGAAAUAAUUUGCUCACCUAUUAGAGACCUAGGUUUCCCUUAAACGUGAAAUGUAUGUAUUCAGAGCUGAGCAUGGUAAAAUAUUCUAAAGAGGUAAGAAGAAGUAGAUUUAAAAAAAAAAAAACCUAAUGUUUUAUUUGAUACAAAUUCUUUCUUAUCUUUCUGCUUCUUCUGAGCAUGUAUAGAAAUAUCUAGAGACCUCAAUUUUUAAAUAAUUUGAUUUCAAAUGGAAUUACAGGUCCUGGACUCAGGAAUAGUACUAGAAAAAAAAAAAUCCAUCUGUCAUUUUUGCUGAAGAAAGUGAUUAGAUAUUCACAAAACCUUAGUAGGUAAAUUCAGACUACAAGGAUCCAUGAGAAUAUUGGUUCCUUUGUACAGUUAAGAAUUCCUGAUGGUGGAGAGUCUGUUUUGUUUCCUGUUUUCUGAACUUGGAAGAUUAACAAUAAAUUUUAUGAGACAAACAUGGCAGUUGCCUGAAAUAUCAAAAUAUGAUCAUUGUUUACAAAUUGAUUCAGUAUCAUGAAAAUUGUUAUUAAAUGACAUCUCUGCUGCGUGCACAGAACAUGUUUACAUGAGAACACUAAUAAUUCAUGAGCAUCCUUCAUGAUUUCAUCUAAUUCCAUGUCCCUCCCAGAUGCCCCUUCCUAAUACCAUUCCACUUGGAGUUCACCUUGCACCUUGUGAAUUUUGGGGUUUGCAUGGACCUUCUGACUAUAAUACUACCUGAUGGUGUUCUCUACAAGGUGUUGGAGACUUCUGGACAUUUGGCUACUCUUAGAUAUUCAUCUACUCUUUCCACUUGUAGAAGUAGUUUUCUGAAUUUCCUCAACAAAGCCAUCCUGGUCUUGGAUUUCACAGAAUUUAAGAAAUGAAGCUAGAGAAACAAAAAAGCUGCUUCUCCACACUUUGAUCAAAAUGCAUGCAAUUCAUUUCUUCGUUUCUCUUGUUUCUUAUUUCCUGUGUCUGCCGAAUCCAGCCAUCUGUGGUCCAGGCAGGUUGGCUGCCAGAAACUGUUCACAUCAUGGCAUAUCACAUAGGCUACAACGCCUUGAGGAAUGAGUUGGAAGUGUUACCUGCUUCCUUUUAGAGGGAAUUAAGGGUAGUUUUCAUUUCCUCCUUAGUGUGGUGCAGAAUCCACCAUGACAUUACUGGGCCAGGCCUUUCCUCUGAUGAUGGUUAGUUAUCACUUCAUUAGCCUGUCCAUGUUGUGUGUUCCUCCUUCUGUGUGACUUGUGGUAGAUUGUUUCUCUCCAAGAAUUGGUCCAGUGAUGAAGAUCAGGAAUUGAGCGAGACCAGAAACAGUACACAGGGGACCCAGAGCUGUGGAAAGCUAAGGAUGUUUAUUUUAAGCAACCCAGACAUUAUAUAUCCCUUGUGUUUGAGUUAAGCAAGUUGUUUGAGGUUAACAUAAGCAAGAUACCAAGAAUAACAUUAAAAUAAUGCAAUGUUCACAAGCUACUUCUUUAAUCUCUGUCUUAGAUCUAAGUCCAAUGAUUAAUCACAACUUAAGGGGAACAAGUUAACAUGAAUGUUCCCCAAAAUAAUUUUAACCACAGAGUACGCAUAAAGCAAGACUCAGUCUUAAGAGGAACUUGUGGCAAGUCUGAUCACGUCAGCAGAGUGUGUCCUGAGAAUAGUGUGCUGUUCUUGCUUGCUCUGGUGUGCCAAGAGUUCGGAGGAUGUUAACCUUCCACAUGUCUUGAGACUUAAAGCACUCCAUCAGUCCAGUAUAUUGGAGUUCACAAAUUGUGGCCACACAGUUCUUAAUAAUAUUCCUUUAUGGUUCUUUUGCUCUCUGUAGGAUUAAUAAUAGUCUACUGAGUUUCUUUUCUACUGAGUUAGUUUUUGUCUUUUUCUUUACUUUGCUGUUGUGUGUCAUUACAAGGAUAUUCAUGAUGAACCCGCUUUUGAUUUUUAUUCUAUUGAUUUCAAGAUUGCAGUUUCUUUGGUGUCUUAUAUGCUAGCAUCAGAUGUAUGUUCACCUUGUUCUUUGUUCUUUAGUUCCUAAAGUGGAAGUUUGAAUAGUUGAUUUUAGUUCUUCUUUUCUAAUGUAAGCCUUCAGCAUCUUUAAUCCCCCCUAAGCCCUGCCUGUGCUCUGUUCCACAAAGUUUCCUAAGAUGCAGUUUCAGUUCUUUUCCAUUGAAAUAUUCAGACUGAUCCUGAGACACCCUUGACCCAUGUGCUGUUUAGAACUUUGGGAUUUGACCUGCAGAUAUCUGGUGGUCCCCCAGCUGUGUUUCUGUUACUGAUGCCAUGGUAAUUCCAGUGUUCCUGGUGCCAUGUUGGGAUUUGGUAGCCUUCUGCACUAACGCCUGUUGGGGCUUAGAGUGUCUGGUCUUAGCGACUGUCCUGUGAUGUUGAGAAGGAUGUGUGCUCUGCUGCUCUUGGUUGAAGUGCCCUAGAUGUGUCCAUGAAAACACUGUAGUGGGUGUGAUGUUGAGUCAGACUGUCAUCUUGAGUGCUCUCCUGUGUGCUCCAUCUGUCACUCACUGUUAUAUGAUUGCUAUCGCCAUGUUUCCUUGUGAGUCUCUCACUUGUUUAUCAGGUGUUUUGAACUGUUGUAGGUCAUGCAUCUAAAUGAUCAAGGUAGUGGGUUUUAAGUCUUUUUAGUGAGUCUAGUGUCAGUAAUGUUUUUUUUUUUUUUUUUUUUUUUGGUGCUGGGGACUGAACCCUGGGCCUUGUGCAUGCAAGGCAAGCACUUCACCAACUGAUCUAUAUCCCCAGCCCUCAAUAGUGGUUUAAUUCAAGCAUUUUUUCCACUGAUGAGAUGUAUUUUCCUAUUGUGUGUUUUUUUAUUUUGUUGCUUUCAAAAAGUGGGUAUAUGAAUAUUAUAAUGGUUCCUCUGAAAUUAGUUUUUCCCUCUAUUCAGAGUUUGCUCUUGUUUGCUAUUAUGUGUAGUGACUUUCCAGAGUAUUUUUGGAGACAGUAGUUUAGUUGCUCAGUGUACUCAGAGGGUCUCUCUCAGCUUUUUUUGAGCCUGAGUUUUGACAGAAUUCCGUGAGGAAAUAGCUGGAAAGAAAACAGAAGAAACAUCAAGAGCUCAGCUCCUCCAGGGCCUGUGGACAUUUGUGCUGGGGCUGCUGCUUUAACACAUGGUCAUGCUGUUCGUACCCCUCCAGCCUCAGUUCUCUGCAGAACUGAGCCUGGAGGGCAGCCAGUGCUCAGCAUUGGGUCUUGGGGCUCAAGGUGAGGCAGAACAUCAUGGGGGAAGAUUGUGUGGUGAUCAGGAAGCAGAGAUAGAGGUUUCCACUCACCAGAUACAAUAUAUCCCCCAUAGCCACACCCAGUGAACCUCUUCCUCCAGCUACACCCCAGCUGCCUCCAGUCACCACCCAGUUAAUCCCAUCAGGGACUAAUUCACCAAUUAGGUUAAAGUAUAUAACACAAUCAUUUUUCCUUCAAACCUUCUUGCAUUGUCUCACACAUGAACUUUUGGGGGACACCUCACAUCCAAGCUGUAAUACUCAGACUGCUGUCUUCUAUAUUAUCAUGCAUGCAUUAAGCAUAUAUAUUAUGUACUAUAUAUUAUUGCUUUUAUUAUUGUUCCAUAUUUGUUUUUGGGAUUCUUUUAUAAAUGAAAUUUUGUCUUAAUUUCAUUUCAGUAUUUUAUUUCAUAUAUAGAAGUUGAUUUUUUAUUAUGAAUUCAUUUUUAUUGAGGAAUUUUUUUCUUUUCUUUUUCUACCAACUGAGCUACACACCCCAGCCCCUUUUAAUUGAUUUUUAUUGAGUUUUGUGUCUUACUUUUUCACUGCUGGCCUUGAGCACACAUCUUCCUAUUUAUUGGGUGCUUCCAGGUUUUAAGCACCACUUGUCCUGUUGCUGUAAGUUUUGCAGUGCGGCGUGCACGAGGACCUACAUGUGGACUCAUUUGGGAUACAUCAACUUUGGGAAAUGGCUUGGGGUCCAGGAACCACCACUGUGACAUAUGACAUGCAGAUGAUCACUUCAGCCUUUGAAAGUUGAGCGGUCAUGGCCCUGUGAGGAGGUUUGUGUGAGGCCUCUGUGUAUGUGUGGGUGUGCUGGAGCCCCACAAAUUCUCAGGUUCUGAUCUCCCGCUGUGAGCAGGCUUUCUGGUAGGAGCAGCAGUGAAGGAGCAACCUCAAAUGUCCCUGUUCUUUUGCAGUAGAGACUCUAGGGAGCGGGAAGCCAGAAAUAAGUCAAAUGCACAUUGUGUGAGCUGGUUGCUGUGGAUGAUGGAGAGAGGUGAUGGGUGCAGAGGCUGCUCUGACUCCUCCCAUCUUGGGGCCUGUGGAUGCUGUCUCUGUGGGUGAGUCCCACCUGUCUUCCCACCCUGUCCUCCCUCUGGUGACAAUCUUGUACUUUCUGUGAAAUCACUCUGUAGCUCACCCUGUGAGGGGGACACACAAGGGCCUUGUGUGCUGCUUUCUUUCUCUGAACUUGGUGCCAUAGUCCCAGCCUCAGUGCUGCAAAUGACAGGACUGAAAGGUGUUUUUGGUGAAAUCAAAUUGAUCUGUUAUGCUUUCAUUAAUCUCAUGGAUGGUACAACAUCCCAGAAACCAUUUCCAAAUCUAGUGUUGUGAGACUUGUGCUCUGCAUGUUCUUGUGGGAAUUGAUGAGAUUUACAUCUUAUGUUCUAAUCCUAGGGGAAAGCAUUUUUUUUUUCACCAUAGGUCAUGAUGGUCCUCUCUGCUUUCCAGGUAUUACUUAAUUAAGUUGAAGUAUCCCCUUCUAGACCUCAUUUGUUGUGCUGUUUAUUGUACAAGUGUGUUGUCUUUUUCAAAUGUUUUUUUUCUGCACCAAGUGAGAUGGCUCUGUGUUUCAGUCAUGUUGCAAAUCCUGUGUCACACCAAUUGAUUUUCAAGUGUGAGACCAUCUUGCAGUUCAAGAAUACAGUUCCUUGGUCUGUAUGUGUAUUCCUUAAAUGAAUCUCCUCAGACGGUUUAUUGGUAUUUAUUUGAAGAUUUUUGCAUAGGUAUUCAUGAAAGACAGUUAUGUGCAAUUUUUUAUACAUAAUCAGCACAAUUUUGGCCUCAAGGAGUGAUUGUGGAAGUGCUUUCCCCUUUUCAGUUUUCAGAAAGAAUUUGAAGAAGAUAUGUAUUAAUUGUGGUGAAUUUGGGGGAGAUUUCAGCAGUGAACGGCUGCUCCUGGGUUUUCAUUCACUGAGGCUAAUUCACUCUGUCCAUGUCUAGAACUGUUCAUAUUUUCUCUUUCUUCUGUAUAUGGUGUGUUUCUCGACUUCUGUCCACUUCCUCUGUGUCACUCCAUCUGUUGUACCUGGGGACUUGUUAACUGAGGUGUGACCUACGGUUCCUUCAGCCAUGCUGUUGUGAUGGAGGUAUUCUGCUGGUGGUGCAGUGUCUUUUCGGGGGCAUUCUCUUGACUGGGCCUUGCCCUGGUCUUCAGGACACUCAGACCUCCCAGGGCCAUUCUUCAUGAGCACUUCUCAGCCCUUCCUCCUCCUGAUCUAUGCAGGAAGAGUAGGGGAAGAUGGGCUGGGGGUUCUCCUUCCCCAGACGUGUUGGCUGAGAACGUCUCAGGUGAAUGAGCCUUUGGAAAGAGCUUCUUCAGAAUGUAGGGCUCAGGAAGGAUGGGUUCUCUGGGAAUAGUAGAAAAUGUCCUCUUUCUUGUCCCCAUGCCUUAACCAGUGAGCUUGAGGUGGGGCAAGAUGUAAGCAUGCAUGUGUACAAGGUCAUAGGGAGCUAGUGAAGGAGGGAGAGAGGGAGAGAAUCUUCACUGUGAUAUACUGUCAGUGUCUCUGGGGAAAAAACAUUAUAAAUUUGUAGGAAUAGUCAGGAAAACCCAUGGGCUGCAGGUCGUGGUAAAUUUCACAAGAGACAAUACUGCUGCAGGGGGAGCCUCCUGCUCUCCCCAGUCCUCCGUCCUGACCCAGGGGUCCUGGGCCUGCAGUGGGUGUCAAUGCCAUGUGCUUGCCAUUCUCCUGGGCCUUCCUCUUCACUGAGGUGGUCCUCUCUCCACACGUGGCUUUCACCUUCUGCUCCACGUCCUGGUGUUCCAUUUCAGUUGUGCAUUUAUUCCUCUCACUCUGUGAUCUUGCUCUGUGGUGUUGCACGUAUUGCAGGUUUCUCCUCCAUUUUUAUCUUUUAAUUCCCUUUAUUUAAUGUAUUUGAAUUUCUCAUUUUUUUCAAUAUUUACUCUUUCAAUGUUUACUCUUUGUGAAAAAGAGUUUUGGAUUCUGUAAGACAUUUCUUAUACACAUCUGAAAGUGUUUAGUUUUGUUUUUCACAUCAGAAUCUCUAAUGAACAAUAGUCUAUGGAUUAGAGAGGAAAACAGUGCAUGUUUGCAAUUAGAUACCAGUUAGUUUUGGUCCCAUUUCACAUUGUUUGUGAUUUAUUUUUCCCUCUCAAAUACCUUUUAUGUCAUUAUUAAGCUCUUCCUAUAAUUGUCAGCCCCCUGAAAAUUUUUUUCUGUCUUGCUUCAUUCUUACUCUGUCUGAUAGCACAGAAUCAGCAGAUAGAGUAAGAAUGAAACAAUAAUUCUGAGUAUCAUAAUAGAAAGUCCUUUAUGUACAUUCAUAUGUCACAUAAAUACAGGGAUACAUUCUGGAGGAGCAUUUUUAGGCUGCCUCACCAUUGCACAAACAUCUUUCUGUAUUCCCCAAAUCCUGGAUGGCACAGCCUCUUGCACACCUAGGCUUUAUGGUCUCAAUGUUUCCUGGGAUAAAAAUCUCCACAGCAUUUUGCUUUAUGAAAUACUGUAGUUAACAGUACAUUAGGUUUGUUUAUACCAGCAGCACUGUGCACACACAAGGAGUCCCUUUACUACAGACAACUUUAGUAUAUAUUAAUAAUAUAAUAAUAAUGACCUAUUAUUAACCCAAAACACCUUUGAGCAAAACGUUAUUAUGAGGCACAUGACUGUAGACUAUAUAAGCCAACAGUCUGCUGCAUUUACACAUUAAUUAUUCUUAUUAUGCUUGGAAAAGUAGCAUCCAUUGACUACUCCUAAGUGUUAUUGAGAUUAUAUCAAAUUAUAUAUGGAUAUCACAUGGAAGAAUGACAUCUUAGGGAUAUUGAUUUUUUUUUUUUUUUUUAUUCAUGGUAGCUUUCUACUUAUCCCAUUCUGUUUUGACAUCAACUUAAAGAAAGUAUCAACUUGUUCUGUGUGUUGAUCAUUAGGCCUUCAGUAAAUCUGUUUCAAACAACCAGUGGUUCUCUUGGUGUAGUCCGACAGGAUGAGCUCAAUCCCCAGUUAACACAUUGUGACCACCUGGAUGAAAUAUUGUCUAUCAGAGAGUCUGUGCCUGUCCAAAGGGAUUAUUUUUAUUUAUUUAUUUAUUUAUUUAUUUAUUUUUUGAGGGGGUGGCAGGAGUUGAGGGACAGGGACCUGAUCCUUUAAGGUCUUAUCCUAAGAAAAGAACUAAAUAAUAGGCUUUCUGAAGGAAAGCAGACAUCUAGUAUAUAGCAUGUUGUUUCCCUGCUAUAACUAUAACUAUACUAUAACUCAGUGUUAAUGCUCAGUUUGGUAGGAUCCCUCCCAAAUCCUUAGGUCUCCCUAUCUGCAAACUUUCAACUUUGUCAGUAGGCCGUUCUAAGGGUGUGCACUGUCAGGAGGACUAAUAUUAGUUCUCUUCUUCACAUGAGGUAGUAGGGCUUCAUUAGUCCAUGUAUUAGACAUGCACCCUACAAAGACUCCAUGAGAAGGGUGUUUUUCUAUUGCUUUUCUAAGUAGUUCCUUUCUAAUAUUGGAAUGCAUAUGUUUGCGGAAGUAAGUUCUGACAGUUUGAGUUUUUCUGGACAAAUCAUGGAGUAAAUAUUGGAGACCUCAAAAUCAUGUGAAUAUCUUGUGUGUAGAGAAGAGAUCCCUCAUGUUUUCAAUCUCUUCUGGUCUCCAACACACAUUUGUGUGAUAUUUUAGAAUAUUUAGAUAUUUUUGAUGAUACAUAAUUCCUAAUGAUUUUAUGGUUUCCUUUCAGGAAGUAAACAGUAUGAUCAGAACAUUGAAGAUCAGAGCAAAAACUCCAUGGAGGAAUCUAAGGUAAUUUUACUCAAAAGAGGAAGCAGGGUCCCUUGAGGGAAUUCUAGCACAUCCUAUAAGUUUACAUGCAAGGAAACAAAAGAAAUAGGCACAGUAUAGAAUUCUUAGCAAUUUUUCACCAGAAAUAUAAGCUUAAUGAAGAUAUAUAUUUAGUGUAUAAAGAAUAAUUGAUUUUCUGACAGUACUGAUACCACAUUCUUGAUACCACUGGUUUUGUUUUGAGGGGGUAACAGGGAUUGAACUCAGGGGCACUUGACCACUGAGCCACAUCCCCAGCCCUACUUCUUUUUAUUUGAUUUAGAGACAAGGUCUUAUUGAAUUGCUUGGCCCCUUGCUUUUGCUGAGGCUGGCUUUGACCUUGUGAUCCUCUUGCUUUAGCCUCCAGAGCCUUUGGAAUUACAGGCAUGCAUCACUGUUUUUUUAAUAGCUAUGCAAGCAAUUUUUCAACAUAAUCAAUUCAUUUACUCUGAAAUGAUUUGGACGUGACAAAAUCUGUGCUUUCUUUGGUAUUAUAAUAAUGAGAGUCUAAGAUCUAUUAAAGAAAAAAAAACAAUUAGAAAAACAAAAAUAAAUAUGUGCUUUUAAUUUUUCCAGAAGUCAUAUGACAGACUCUACCAAAAUUAAAACAGAUAUUCAUUGUGGAAAACCCUUUAGUGAGAUCCCAAAUCUUAACCUAAAAAAAGACAUAUCUGCUUGAGUAAAUCAGUGUGAGUGCAGUGUAUUUGGAAAUGUCUUCAUGUUUUCCAUUCUUUUUUUUGGAGGUGGGGGUGCUAGAAAUUUUACUCGGGCACUCACACUAAGCUACAUCCUCAGCCCUAUUUUGUAUUUUAUUUAGAGACAGGGUCUUGGGGAGUUGCUUAGUGCCUCACUUUUUGUUGAGACUGGAUUUGAACUUGAGAUAAUCAUGUCUCAGCCUCCUGAGCUGCUGGGAUUACAGGCUUGGGCCACCGCACCAGGCUCUAUUAUUUCUUAAUAGGCACAUCAUAUUUCAGUCUGCUUAUAAACCAGAUGAACAUGAGAAGUGUGGUGGGAAGACAUAUGAACCUCAGCAGUACAGAAAACCCUCAUUUCUCUCCCAAGUAUUCAAAGGAAGUGAUGAAGCACACUAGAAAUGGACCUUAUGAAUGUGUAUGUAGGAAAGGGUUCAGUUGUUCCCAGAGUUUUCAAAACAUGAACCAUCUCACACUGGAUUAGAGUCCUAGGAAUGUAAGCUAUGUGGAAAAGCCUUUGCUUACUUCAGUUCCAUUUGAAAACACCUACUGGAGAAAAUCCCUAUGAAUGUUAACAGUGUUGGGAAAGCCCUCACUAUUUCUGAUUAUCCCCAACUGCAAUGCAACCAGUGUGGUACAUCCAGUUCCCUUCCAACAGUUGGAUCAAUUCAUACCAGAGAGAAGCAAGAUUGUCAAGAUUGUGGGAAGCCUUCCCUGUUUCUGUUCAUCUUCACUCACAUAAAAGUACUCAUAUUGGAGAGAAACCUUACGAAGGUAAACAGUGGGAUAAAUCAUUUACAGUUCUUACCUGACAGUACAUCGAAUAACUGAGAAGCCCUAUGAAUGUAAACAGUGUGGUCACCUUCAUGCACAUGAACAAACUCAGACGGAAAGAAGGCCUAUGAAUGCAAAGAACGUGGAAAAGCCUGGAGUUGGCCCUCUCACCUUCAAAAGCAGAAACAACUCAUAUGAUUGUGAACAGAGUGGCACAGCCUUCACUUAAAGUCAUGCUCAGAAAACAUCAAACAACUCAUACUGGAGAGAAGCACUGUGGAUGAAAACAAUGGGAAAUGCCUCCCAUUACUGGAGCUUCCUUUUAAAUAUGAAAGACAUUGUGCUUGAAAAAAGCCAUUGAAUGUAGAAAAAAAAAUGUGGCAAAUGAUCUGAUACUUCCAAUCACCUUCAGAGUCAUGAAAGGGCUCACAUGAGAGAAAACCUCUUUGAGUGUAAACAAUAGUUGGUAAGUCAUUGAGUGUUCUCAGUCGCCUUCAAAGCCAUUUCAUUAACUCUGGUAAACAAAACUGAAUGUGUGUUGGUUCCUUUUCCUUCCUCUGCACGGAUUUCUUAUUAUGGAAAGAAGCCCUGAGAAUGUGAGGAAUAUGGGAAGUGUCCAGUUUUCCCAGGUUUUUGUUAUGAUAUCUGGUGCAGGUGUCCAAUGUUCCAAUUCUCCUCAUUUGUUCACUUUCUACCCCUGUGACAAAAUACAUGAGAAAAAUCAACUUAAGGAAGGAAAGAUUUAUUUUGGCUCACUUGAUCAUAGGUUUCUGUCCAUAAUUGAGUGGCCCCAUUGCUCUGGGAAAUGGACCAUCAUGGUGGAAGCGCAGAGCAGGGCUCAUGGCACCCAGAAGGGGAAAGAGAGAGGGAGUAAUGGGCCACCAACCACAUAUAGCCUUCAAAGUCAUGUCUGAGUAGUCCACCUGCUGCAAGUAGACAUCCCCUCCUAGUGUCCUCCUCCCACAGCACCACCAGCUGGGGACCCAGCCUCCAGCACAUGUGGCUUUGGGGGACAUUCCAGGUCCAUCCAUGCUACAGCACUUGAGUUACAUGAAAGAACUCAUGCAGGGCAGUGCCUAGGAGUACAGAAUGUGAAGAGUAUCCCAUCUUUUCAGUUUCCUUCAAAGACAAAUCAGGACUCACAUUAGAGAAAUGCCUGAUGACUAAGAAAUCUGGUAAUGCUUUCAAUUUUCCAGUUUUCUUUGAAAAGAAGGAAGGAUUCACAUGUGGUAAUGAAAUGUGGUAAAUGAAUGAAGAAAUGCCUCCAGGCCUUCAGUUGUUCUAGGUCCAUUCAGACACACAGAAUUCAUUAGUGAGAGAAAGACGAGGAGUGCAUGGAAAGUGGGAAUGCCUUCAUCUCCCUGUGACAUUCAGAGGUGCAGGAUGAUGCAUCCAAAAGAUGUGCGUGUUAGCUCGACUUUAAGGUGUGAAAACACAUCGAUUUUCUGGGUUAAAUCUCUCAUCUUGCAUUGUAGGUCUUUCUAUUUAUAGUUUUCUAUCGUUUUGUUGAGAAUUUUUGUAUCUAUAGGCAAAAAAAAAUUUGUACACUAAUAUGUAGCAUAGAAGUAUCUAGUACAUAGAAUAUAUGUAUGUGCAUAUAUCUGUGUGUAUGCUAUAUAGGAUCAGUACAGUUUUGUAAGUAAAUAGUGUGUAUUAUAUAUACUAUUUUAUAAGAUAAUGUAAUUAAGCACCAUGUGCAUUAUCUAGGAUUUUAUGGCAUCAUAGUAUAGUAUUAAAUUCUUAUUGAUCCAUAGUAUCAGGUAUUUCAGUUUCCUCCUACCAGCCCUAUCCCAAACCACAUAAUUUUGAGGGAACCAAGAGCACCUCACUUUGAUGAUACUACAAAGCUUUGCCCCUUGCCCCUUAUUACAUCAGCAAUCAAGUGCAAUCCCUCUGUGGGCCUGGAUGGCUUCCUGUGCCCUCCUCUGCUUAACUCUGUGUUUCCAUUUUUCUUAUGUGUCCAGUGGGGGUGUUACAUGUUUGUCGAAGUCACCCUGGGUGCUAAUUCAUUUGUAGGUAGUGGUGUGAAUGGGAGGCUGUUAGAAACCUUUACAGCAUAAACAGAAUGGAGUGAACAUGAAUAAAAACAGCUGCUCAGCUUUUACUAAUUGCUCUUGGUGACUGGUUCCACGGCACAAUGAAACCACCUGAGUAGCACCUGCACUUUUUGAUGGGUUUGACCUUGGUCUGCCCACAGUUACUGAUUUGUACCUGGUGUUGCCAUUUCUCCCCUCACAUGAGUACUCACAUCCCCUACACAUAAUGGUUCACUGGCUUUACCCACUGAAUGCCUUCCUCCCUCAAGGCAGUGAAAGAAUAGCUACCCAACAAGUGCUUUAGUCCUGAUUAACAAGAAACAGGCUAAAGCUCUGUGGACCCUGCAUUUAAUUUGGGAACCAUCACUAAUUGCUUGGGAUACUCCUGGGAGAGACUCAGGGAUGGUCUUUUGUGAAAUUCGAGAAAGAAGGGGAUACUCACCUUGAGAACAAUUAAGUACAUCACCUAGUUUCUCAAAGUUGUUUUCAUGGAGCAGGCAAGAGUAGGGGCCUUGCUUGUCUCUCGUGUGCUAAUUACCUUACAGCCCUGUGCACCCUUCUGUUGAGGGGCACAUCCAUGAUGCUUGAUGGUCCAAGUGCUGAUAGGUAAUGCAUGAGGCAUUAGCUCCUCGUGAAACCUGGGAGGAGUAUCUCAACCAUUCAUGCUUCGGAAAACCCCUCACCAGUGUGUGAGUUUUCCUUAGCACUAAUGCUUGUCAGCAUGCUAAAGUCUCAUGGAAGAAGGUUUGCUGGCCUUAGAAAAAUGACUUACUGCAAGUGGGUAUUAACCCACACAGAAAUAAGUCUCAUUACCCGAAGGCUGAAGUGGUGUCUUCCAGUGUGGGUUACUGGGCUUCUGAACUCUUCACCUUAGCCACACAUGAGCACUAGCAGUGAUCAGAUGGAGUCAGUACUGGGGAAACCUGCAAGUUUGCAUCAGUGGAAAUCCAAAACGUCAUAAAUCCCUGUGGGUAGGGAAGGGAAAAGUGUCAUGUGCAGUGAUCAGAUCUAGGAACCCAGCACCUGAUGGCUUGGCUCCCCAAGACCCAGCAGUUGUACUGCCACAGUCACUACUGCCUGUGCCUCUGUCUCAACAAGUGUCCUAGUUCCUGUGUGAAGGGUGUAGAUGGCUAUUUAGAUAUCUUGGACCAAUGCAGUUGUCCCUUGUAGUUCUUAAGAGAAAACAUAGAGGUGAUGAGUAUGUAACUCCACAAUGGAUCCCUUGCUUUACAUGGGAGAGGAACCUGUGUUCAAUCCCCAGUACUGCACAACAGCAAAACAACAAUAAAAGAGCAACUGUAGCUGAGUGUAGUGACACACACCUACAUGUCAGCAGAUAGUGACCCCGAGGCAGGAGGAUAGCGAGUAGAAAGCCAGCGUCAGCAAAUUAGUUAGACCCUAAGCAAUUCAGCAAGACCCUUUCUCAAAAAGUUAAAAAAAAAAAAGGACUGGGGAUGUGGUUCAGUUAUUAGACACCCCUGGGUUCAAUCCCCAGUACCAAAGGAAAACACACACACACACUUACACACACACACAUACACACACUCACAUACAUAUACACACACACACACACACACACAAAAAAAAAAAAAAACAAGCAAAUAAAAUAAGCAACUAUAAAAUGUGUGAUGGAGAAUGAAGACCAAUCCCAUAAAGUCAGUGGCCGAACUUCUUGCAUCUUGGAAAAGAUGAAAAGGAAGGCAAAACACAAGAGGUUAAGGACAUGAGAAGCUUAUGGGUGGCUAUAGGGGGCAUUGGCCUGGGGUCAGCCUGGUUGAUUGGGCCUUGUUUUAGUCAGUUUUUUGUCAGCUGUGACUAAAAGACCUGUCAAGAACAAUGCUGAGGGGGGAUUGUUUGUCCCAGGCACAGUUUCAGAGGUCUCAGUUCAUAGACAUUCCUGUCCAUUGCCCUGGGACCAAGGUGAAGUAGGACAUCUAACAGAAUGGAUGACCGAAGAAAGCAGCUCCAGACAUGGCAACAGAAAGCAGAAAUAGAGCUCUGCUAACCAAAAAUAAACGUAAAUCCUGCAGGAAAGCCCCCAGUGAGCCAGCUCCCCCAGCCACACCUCACAUGCUUGCAGUCACCAAGAGUUCAUCCACUCAAGUGGGUCGAUGCUCUGCUUGGGUUACACACAUGCUAGGCAAGUGCACUAUCACUGAGCCCCAGCCCCAGCCUCUUGAUGACAAUUCUUAGCCUAAAAAAUAAGAGAGGGAAGUGGAAAAGGAAAGCAGGAAGGAAGCCAUAAGUAGGAAAGAGGUGGAGAGGAAUUAAGUGUGAGCAGAUUUUUGUAAGGAAAAUUGAAAUUGAUGAAUACAGAAGACUGUUGUGUGGUGAAAUAAGACUCUUUCUCUUGAAGUAGAAUGUCGGAUUGUUCCUCAAUGGGCAGGAAGCAGUAAGAGUCAAAACUGCUGACGUAUGCACAUUGUAGGUGUAAAAAUGUUAUGACACUUGAUGUGUCCUUCAGAAUUCAUUAAAAAUUUUGAAGCAAAGUUCUCUUUUAUGUAAUGGGUUCACUUUAUUUUUUGAAUGUGGGGGAUUAGGAAAAAGUUAAAAGUCAUCUAAUGGGCAUUUGGCAUAAAAAUUAUGAUAGUCCAGACCUUAUGGAAUUCCUUCACUACAUCCAGGAUAUUCAGGGGAUGCCACAUGGCUUGUUAAAGAAAUUCUUGAUGACUUCAAUGGUUUUAAUCCUUGGAAUACGUUAAAACAUACAAUAUGGUAAAUUCUAGAAUUUUGUGUUUGCUACUAGUUCUCAUUUGUGUUAUAACGAUAAGAUGCCACAUCUUCAGAUAAGAAAUCUGACAGCUCCAAAUAAUAACAAAACAUUUGUGGUCAAAAAAUGAAAAAGGAGGAGUUGUGGAGAGAGGUAACAUUCUCUGAUUGCAUUGUGGUUGUGGUGCACUUGCCCUGGGAAAUUCCUGUGUAAAAGUCCAGAUCAAGAUUUGCCCAGUUGCUCUGGUGACACCCUGCCUGAAGAGGCUCUGUGAAGAGACACAGAGUCACAUCAGUCUUGACCUUGAGAUCACACACCACCUCCCAGGAAUAGAGAAUUCUGAAUAUGACAAAGCCACAAUGUUUCACCCAUGCUGUGACUUCUAUGCCUGCCCACUUAGCAGAAACUCUGGCCAUGGGCUUCCUGGGUGUUAACAUGAUGCCCCUAAGUUUACAACAGUAGAAUAGCUACAAGAAUGUUUCUAGUCUUGUAACUUUUUAAUGCACAAAGAACAAUGCCUCUACAGUCUUUAACUUCCUGAUUAUGAGACACUAUAUAAUACAUGUGUUGUGCCUGCUGUGGGUCACUUCUUCUCCAUUAGAGAUGAGUGCUUCACCUGAUGCCAGAUUUCUCUCUAAAUGUGUGUCUUUCCUAAUCCCCCCUCACUGGUUUUUGAAUUAAGGUCUAUGCAGGUAAGAGCACAGAGUUAUUGGAGAUUGCCUAUAUCAAUUUUAGGUUGAUUCUUUUUUCCUUUAUUUUGCAUAGAAAUACCAUUGGAUUUUUGAUAGGAUUUCAUUGACUUUGUAGGUAAGUUUUGGAUAGUUUUGAUUAUAUUAUGACCUUGGAAAUGUGAAUACUAGCUGUCUUUCCCUUUAUUUGUAUAUAUUUUCAUUUCUUUCAGGAUUAUUUUAUAGUUCUCAGUGUAUAAGCCUUUAAUCUUCUUGGCUAAGUUAUUUCCCAACUUCUAUUCAUAGUAUUUUUUUUCUUUCCUUUUCAGAUUACUCAUUAUUAGUGUAUGUUAAUGUACCUUAGUUUUGCAGAUUGAGUUUUAUGCUCUGCAUCAUUGCUGAGUUCAUUUAUUAGUUUCCUUAAUUUUAGUGUAUUUGAAUUUGUUGCUCUUUGUUACUCUUUUUUCUUCAGUAGAUAAUUUGCCAUUGGGUAUGGUGGCACUCACUUGUUAUCUCAGUUCCUCAAGGGGCUGAGGCCAGCCUGGACAAUGUAGUGAGAUUUAAAAAUAAAAAUAUAAAAAGUGUGUAGCUCACUGAAAGGUAAAGCUGCACUAACAGAAUGUGAUUUGGAGAUUUAGGAAACUUUCUAGGGGUGUCCCUUGGAAGGUGUCAUCUUGUUGACAUUAGUUGUUUCUAAAUCCAUGCUAUAUUUUCUCUUAUCCCACACUGUUUUAACUUUAGUUAAUAGACAGCUUCAUGUUGUUCUGUUUGUUGAUCAUUACUCUUAUUUACUACUUGGCAAAAUGUUAUCUGGAGUAAGCCACUUGUUACCUUCAAAAUGUUUUUGUUUAUUACUAAUCAAAUAGUUUGAGAUGAUUUCUACAAAUCACUGUUUGUAGAAAUAUGAUCUGAAAUAUGAUCUUCUGGGCAGCUGGUUAGAGACUCUGCCUGGAGCAUGGGCUAGUGGGGAAGCUGCUCAUGUCCUCAGCACUGGUGUAAGAGUGGGACAAGAUGGUAGAGUUUGAGAAGGAAAAAAGAAAUCCAAUAAAUACUGUCUGGCUUGUAUAAAUUCAUUAGGAAUAAUGAGCCACGCUUCACCAUUAGAGUGGUAUAAUCUAUCCAAAUCCUGAUUUCCCAUAUGACAGCAAGGUUCAAGUUUGUGUGCAGGCUUUUCUGAGGAUAUAUGAGUUCACAAGUGCUAAUAGGAAGAAGUCCUUUCUUCUUAGCAAGCAGAUGGUUGGGAUUUGUUUUUAGAUGCAUUUGAGGCACAAUCUGCAAAGGGAAAUUUUGGUGGCCCAGGGUAAUAUCUUUCUCCCAGGACUCUCCAGUGACAAGGGUAUUCUUGCUCUAGUACUGCUUUUUUGUGUAAUUUAAUUCUAGUGUAGGAACACCUGCAUUUGAGGAAAUGAGUGUGAUGAGUUCUGAGUUUUGGUGACCAAAUCACAGAAUAAGUAUUUGGGGAGCACAGUGUCAUGUGAACACCAUCAUGUUAAGAAUAUUUAUUUUUUAGUUUUCGGCGGACACAACAUCUUUGUUUUGUAUGUGGUGUUGAGGAUCGAACCCGGGCCGCUCGCAUGCCAGGUGAGCGUGCUACCGCUUGAGCCACAUCCCCAGCCCCCAAGUAUAGAUUCUUAGUAGCUGCCAACCUCACAGCCCUCAACGACACAUUUGUGGGAUAUAUUUAACUCAGUUGCCUUUGGGGAUGUGGCUAUGAACUUCUUUCACCCAGGAGAAGUGGGUUUUGCUGGAUCCAUUGAACAAGAAUGUCCACAGAAAUGUGAUGUAAAAAGUCUCCAUGAUAUUUCUUUACUCAGUCCAAUAGAGAACAUGUGGGCCUUUGCUUUUAAUUAUUUUGAUGUCUUCAAUUUGAAAUAUGUAGAGGUAAUAGUAAACAAAGGAGUCAUGAUUCUGUGGGAGACCACUCAGAAAACACACAAAGUCUGAAUUUGAAGCUAAUUAAAGAAUUUUUAUUUUACCUAUCUGAUCCUGGCCAGGCACACUUUUUAAAAAAUAUUUUUAUUUGUAGGUGGACACCAUACCUUUAUUUGUUUAUUUAUGUGGUGCUGAGAAUCAAACCCAGGGUCUCACCUGUGCUAGGCAAGUGCUCUACCACUGAGCCACAACCCCAGUGCCCUAGGCACACUUCUGACAGAGCCCUAGUAACUCUCUGAAAGAAGCAUGCUAGGCUCUCUGUGGCUGCAGUGUUUGAGAAAGAAAAUCACAUCCUAUGAAUUUUGCAAAUUGCAAGCAAGUAGAGUACAGGGGCUGAAAAUGCAGUUAGCAGAGCAAGUCCAGACAACCACAUCUGGGGGACUUUAUAGUUGCAGGCACAAAAAGUGCAGGGGGGUGCACAAAGUGCAGAAAUACACAUUUUUAUCAUCUUAGAAAUAUCUCAUAUAAUAGUUUCACACAGGAACCAUAAAGUCGGAGUACUUCUUUUAUCUUACUGUUACUUCUUCUAUCUUAUAACUAGGGCAAACCAAGGUAACUUAACAUCCCUAAUUUUAUAACAUUUCUCAUAUAAUCCUAUUAUCCAUGCUAUUUCAUUAAUCUAUAAUCUAUAACCUAUUACUUGUAUUGAUUUAACUCAGAGCAUAACACAAUACAGCAGAAGUACACUAAAAUUUUUGUAGCUCAUUGCAUUUCAAAUGAUUUUACUGGAUCUGCCUUUUAGGCUGCAAAUACAAAUACCAGAACAUUGAUGAGGAGAACAAAAAUUCUGGGAGAAAUCAAAGGUAAUUUGUAGUCAUUCAGCAUGGAGUGACCCUUCAGGGAAUCAUAGCAUGAUAUGGAAUUUUUGGGGGGUGUGAGCCAUUUCAAUUGAACCGUGGUGGACCUUGAGCACAGUAGUCAAGCAUUCUAUCAUUAACCUACAUACCCUUUUCAUGUAAAUUAUUAGAAACAUAGAACAAAUAAUCAGAACUUUAAAUAUAUUUAUUCUUUUUAUUUUUUCACUAUUGUUAUAUACAUCAAUACAACUCAGAUGUUCCAGAGUUUACAUUAUAAUUGAAUUGCAAGCAUUGCUAUGUAACUACAUUCACAAAUAUCACUGUUUUUAAAAUAUAUUUUUAUUUGUAGGUAGACACAAUAUAUUUAUUCAUUUAUAUUUUUAAUAUUUUGUUUAUAUGCUGGUGGACCUUUAUUUAAAAAAUAUUUAUUUUUAGCUAUUGGUGGGCAGAAUAUUUUAUUUUUACAUGAUGCUGAGGAUCAAACCCAUUGCUUCACACAUGGUAGGGAGCAUUCUACCUCUGAGCCACAACCUCAGCCUGGAGGACCUUUAUUUUAUUCAUUUAUUUAUAUGCAUUGCUGAGAAUCAAACCCAGUACCUCACACAUGCUAGGACUGUGUUCUACAACUGAGACACAACCCCAGCCUGCUUAUUCAUUUAUUUUUAUGUAGUGCUCAGUAUUGAAUCUAAUGUCUCACAUGUGAGGCAAGUGCUCUACCACAGAGCUACAGCCCCAGCCCAAAUAUCAUUGUUUUGAUAAUAGCUAUUGGGAAGCCAUGUUACAAAGUAAUAAAUUCAUUCACUUUUUAUUAAUGUAUACAUGAUACAAAACCUAGGCUGGGCAGCCUGGCACAUGUCUAUAAUCCCAGUGGCUCAGGGGCCUGAGGCAGGAGGAUCUUACCCUCAGCAAAAGUGAGGUGCUAAGCAACCCAGUGAAACCCUGUCUCUAAAUAGCAUAUAAAAUAGGGCUGGGGAUAUGGCUCAGUGGUCCAGUGCCCCUGAGUUUAAUACCUGGUACCCCCUCCCCCAAAAAAGUGUGUCUGAGUUUGCUAUUUGUAUUUCACAUUUAACUGUUUGGAUAUUGAACAACAAAGAGAAACUAACAGGAAGCUAUAUUGGAAGCAUAUGUGAAAAUUUCUAAGGCAUUCACAUAAACUUGAGCACACACAACACAAACUCAAUUAGCUCAGCAAUGUUGCAGAUGACAAGAGGAAUACACACAGAAACAGAAGAUUUUUACGCUGGAAAUGAACAAUCUCAAAAUGAAAACAAGAAGCAGUUCUAUUCAAAAUUGUAUGAAACAAAAAUACUUGGAAAUAAAUCUUACAACAGAAGAAGGUUAAGACCCAUUGACCAGAAAGGUAAGACAGAAAGUUGAAAGUAAUCAAGAAAGAGCUAAAUAAAUGGGAAGUAGCUAAUAUUCAAGCACAACAAAACUCAAUAGUGUUAAGAUCAUGUUAUUCCUUAUUUACUGCAUCCAACAGAAUAAAACAAAUAUGACAGUAUAUCAUUGUGCAUCUUGGAUCCAAAGGUCUUGAGUGCUUCUUGUCUUCCUAGUAGAACCCUCUUUCUCCAUGAGCGCAAAGACUGUGUUGCUGAUGGAGGAGGAGAUACCAUGGGGAGGAGAACCAAGGUGCCCCAGGCAACAGCCAGUUCUCCCCAGAAGCAGAGUUUCCUGGUCAACACGUAGAACACAGGCCGGGUGGGCCCCACUGUGCCCAGAUUGCUGACCAGUCACUCUUGAGCUGGUACCUUAUGGAGUGAUUUGUUCUGCAGUCAGAGCCACGUGACACAUAGACUCAGUGCAGAUGGGAGGCCAGGGUUCAACAACACAUUCACUGGGAGUUACUGGCCAACAACAGGAAGCCAAUAGGAACUGAGUUAUCUUCCCCUUGUUUAAGGUUGGGUUUCCUAUUAGAUGGUGUUGAGUUACACAGGUUAUGCAUAUGAACAUCUGUACAUGUGAUUGGUAGUCACAGGGCACUCUUCCUGUGAAGAGGAAACACACAACCACAGCCUGCAGAUUAGAGCCAAGCUACUGGCAGGGAAGGGAUGUUCCCUCAUUAUCGCAUAAAAGUAGGUGGAUGUUAUAGGUCCUUUUCUGCUGACAGACAUCAGGGGGUCACAAACCUCACAGAUGCACCUAUGUGGCAGCCACAAAGAUUAGGUUGGACUCCUGAGCACAUGGAAUGUGGCUGGUUUGCAUUGAGCUACUGAGAGAAUACAGUAUAUUUUAAAGAAAUAGUACCAUAAAGACAAGUAGUUAAUUAAUAGUAAUUGAGGGUUAUGGAAAUUAACAUUCCUAUGAGAGCUCACCAAGAAAAAUGAAAAGAGUGUGGCUUGGGAGGAGGGAGAGGAAAUUAGUAAACAUAUACAAUGGACACUGAGGGAAAAAACCAAAAAUUCAUCCCUUCUUGGGUUCUUCCCCAGCAUUUCCACCAAAAGCAGACAUUACCCCUGCUCAACCAUAAUUGGCCCUGAAGGAAGGAAGCAAAUACUAAAAUACUGGUGUCUGGACUUUUUAUCCUUUCCCAUUGCAGAUGAGUCCUGGAAGGAGAAAAGCAAAUAGUCAUGCUCUAGUAACAAUGGGUCCCAGAGAUAAGCAGGGAACACCUGGUUGUGAGCUUUUCCCAAUGACAAUAAGUUUUAAACUUUUUACAACUGCAUUCCUGAGUUAAAAUUUUAGCUUGCACUACUAGGUCCCUGAGCAGCCAAACUGCAUGUCUACAAUCUCCAAUGAUUAAUUCAUCCUCAUUGUAAACUAUGAAACCCAAACUCCUGUAACCUUGGGGAGGCAUUUCCAUACCCAGAAAAUGAGCCCUCCUAUGCCUGAUGGAUUGACUUCCCUGCAGAAUAAAGGAAAGUUGCUGACAUUAAAGAGUUGCUGUCUCCUGCCUCAGUCAUUUGUGGGCCAUGUACUUACAGUAAUACCUCAUUGCAUCGGUUGCAUAGAAAAAUAAUUAUAUUUUACAUAUAUUGCAUUAAAGAAAUCAACCAUUUCACCUGUGACUCUCGCGUUUUGAAUCUUUAUUUAUUUAUUUAUUUUUUUUGCUGGGGAUGGAACACAGGGCUUUGCCUUUGCUACAAAAACACUCUACCACUGAGUUAUGCCUGAGCUACUUUACAUGUUUCUUUUUUGUUUUUAUGUGGCUUUCAGAAAGUUUAAAAAUACAUAACACAUUUCAUUUCAAUUAAACAGGGCCUUCCUUUCCAUAGCUGGGGCUGAGCCAUCUAAAAGAACACAGGUGAGGAAGGUCAUGCAAUUUUAAAUUGUAAUAAAAUUCUCAAGUUACUCCCAAUCGUGAACAGCACAGUUAUUUGUACAUAUCGCUGACAUUCUUUAGUCCUCUUCCCCUGUUGCCUUCUACACCAGGAUGAAUAUAAACGUUUCCCGCCAGGCUCAGGUCCCAGCUCGCCAAGGAAGCCCUGCCUGAAAAGGGCUGGGCCAAGAGCCUGUCAUCUGGACUGUAUCAGCCAACGAUUGGGUUAGAAUAGCUGUCACUCAAGGCUGCUACAGUACCUGGAGGCGGAGCAGGAGAGGAACUGUCCAAUCAGGUGCGCGGAGGAAGGUGAAGGGCGGGCUCUCGCAAUCUCGAGGUUUUCCCUCUCCCUUGCUGAGCUCCUUCCUCCAUUGAUCCUUUGUCCUCUUCUCCGGAUCCCCGGGGACUCUGCGUAACCUGGGGCCCGAAGGAGUUCAGAAACCAGACGUCUCUAGAAAGGACGGCGGGUCACCCUGGAGUCCCCAAACGGUGAGUGUGGCC
This 26971-nucleotide long non-coding RNA is filed under the name Marmota monax (woodchuck). The record is from RNAcentral. Lineage: Eukaryota; Metazoa; Chordata; Mammalia; Rodentia; Sciuridae.